UACGAAGGGGGCUAGCGUUGCUCGGAAUCACUGGGCGUAAAGGGUGCGUAGGCGGGUCUUUAAGUCAGGGGUGAAAUCCUGGAGCUCAACUCCAGAACUGCCUUUGAUACUGAAGAUCUUGAGUUCGGGAGAGGUGAGUGGAACUGCGAGUGUAGAGGUGAAAUUCGUAGAUAUUCGCAAGAACACCAGUGGCGAAGGCGGCUCACUGGCCCGAUACUGACGCUGAGGCACGGAAAAGCGAUGGGGAGCAAACAGGG
RNAcentral lists this ribosomal RNA (257 nucleotides) under uncultured bacterium. RNAcentral's name for it is "partial 16S ribosomal RNA". It matches the Rfam family "Bacterial small subunit ribosomal RNA", at positions 524 to 777 of the family's 1533-position model. The record is from RNAcentral.